AGCUGCGCAGCAGUAUGAUAUAGUCAAUGCAUUCGAAAAAAUACAGCAAUUUACAAUAAAUCGCCAUAUAACGACGAUACUAACACUUUAACCUCUUCAAGUAAUCUUGAAAAGUAUAAUCAGUGUAAAAAAUAUUAACAAAUUAACAACAAUUAACCGUUAUAUAUAAAUUCAACCCGUACUUUUUAAAAUUCGCAAAAUGGAGAAAACGCAUAUGUGGAGUGUACAUAUAUUUUAGGUGAAAUAUUUAUUCUUUCUUAAUUUAUACAAGACUCUAUAAGUGUUGGGCCUGGAUCUGUAUUUAUGUGAAUGUCGCUGCACCACAUCUGCAAAGAAUAAAGAGUCCAACACACUAACAAUCAAACAAACAAGAAGAAGGCGACAUCGACGAUUAACGACAAUCAAGACUACAAAAAAUGCGAUCAGUCAGUAAAACUCCAAAGAAAGACUCAUUCUACAUACGGCGACGUCGACCAGAUUGUGAAAACAAACAAAACAACAACGAUAUUCACAAAAAUAAAAUAAAAAAAAAUAAAUAAAAAGUUAAACGAAGAAAACAUGAAAUUUAAUAAAAAGUGAAAAAACUCAAAUUCGGACGAAGAAUGAAAACAACACACAUGAAAUUUGCGAGAAUUUUGCAGCACAGACUAUAAAAGCUAAAAAUCAUUUUAAACUCGAGUUUAUUAAAACGAGUGCUGUGCGAGUGUCAAGAUCAAUCGGUCGAUGUUAACGGACAUAACGAUCAAAAUACAUAAAUCGAAGUAUGUACUUAAAAAAACAUACAUAUGUACAUACCAAAUAUACAUACAUCCAUACAUACAUACAUAUAUGUACGAAAAUGUAUAUACAUUGCUGCAUCAUGAUAAUGGAACAAAAGUGAAAUUAUUUUAAAAGGAGGCAACGCCCUGUUUUUGUCUUGCUUAUUUUUUUCUGAUCAAUUACAAAAAAAAAAUCAAAAUAACAAGAAUAAUAAAGUGAAAAUCCAUUAAUUACAGUAGAAAUUAAACAAAAUACCGAUUUGAGAACAUUUUGCACACAAGUGAACUAUUUAAUUUAAAUGAUCUAACUUAUUAUCACAGGUGGAUUAGAAAGCAGCAGCACUAUUAAAAAAAUACAACAUGAACAACAGCACACUCAAUAUUCGCACGUUCAAAAGUAGCAAUAGAAAACAAACAAAAAAUCACAUACAAGUAAAAUAAAAAAUAAAACUAGCAACAACAAACCGAAAAGAAACUAAGAAAUAAAAAUAGAGAAAUAAACAAAAAA
Long non-coding RNA from Lucilia cuprina (Australian sheep blowfly), 1266 nucleotides. RefSeq lists it as uncharacterized. The record is from RefSeq and is a predicted model, not a curated record. Lineage: Eukaryota; Metazoa; Arthropoda; Insecta; Diptera; Calliphoridae. The transcript has 2 exons.